AACAAGGCGUACCUGCGGACCUGCGGAGGGAUCAUUAAAAAGAGUGUGUACCCCUCUGUAAAAUGAGUGGGUUACCUCCCGUCCUUUGUUGGCCUCUUAGGAGGUUAUUUUGAACUUUCUGCUUCGGUGGGGUUAAACCUACCGGAACACCCUCAAAUUCUUAUCAUUUAAAAAUUGUUCAGUCUGAUUUUUGUUAAUAAAAACAAAAAACUUUCAACAAUGGAUCUCAGAUCGGAAGAG
This 240-nucleotide unclassified non-coding RNA is filed under the name soil metagenome. RNAcentral's name for it is "partial contains 5.8S ribosomal RNA, internal transcribed spacer 2, and large subunit ribosomal RNA". The record is from RNAcentral.